GAAUUUAAUAUAAUUAUUAAAGGAUAUUUAUUAAAAUUAGUAUAUAUAAUAAUUAAUAUUUAAUUGGGAGGAUUAUUAAAUUUAAGGAACUUUAAGAUUAUUUAGAUUAUAAAUUAAUAUAUAGAAUUUUUUUGAGUGGUUAUUAAAUUAAAGUAAAAUUAAUUACCUUAGGGAUAACAGCGUAAUAUUUUUAUGGAGAUCUUAUUGAUAAAAAUGAUUGC
This 221-nucleotide ribosomal RNA is filed under the name Strumigenys subedentata. Its description in RNAcentral is "partial large subunit ribosomal RNA". The record is from RNAcentral. Lineage: Eukaryota; Metazoa; Arthropoda; Insecta; Hymenoptera; Formicidae.